RNAcentral lists this ribosomal RNA (480 nucleotides) under uncultured bacterium. Its description in RNAcentral is "partial 16S ribosomal RNA". It matches the Rfam family "Bacterial small subunit ribosomal RNA", at positions 28 to 523 of the family's 1533-position model. The record is from RNAcentral.
GACGAACGCUGGCGGCGUGCCUAACACAUGCAAGUCGAGCGAGUGAAUCUCCUUCGGGAGUGAAACUAGCGGCGAACGGGUGAGUAACACGUGGGCAACCUGCCUCAUAGAGGGGAAUAGCCUUUCGAAAGGAAGAUUAAUACCGCAUAAGAUUGUAGCUUCGCAUGAAGUAGCAAUUAAAGGAGUAAUCCGCUAUGCGAUGGGCCCGCGGCGCAUUAGCUAGUUGGUGAGGUAACGGCUCACCAAGGCGACGAUGCGUAGCCGACCUGAGAGGGUGAACGGCCACAUUGGGACAGAGACACGGCCCAGACUCCUACGGGAGGCAGCAGUGGGGAAUAUUGCACAAUGGGGGAAACCCUGAUGCAGCAACGCCGCGUGAGUGAUGACGGCCUUCGGGUUGUAAAGCUCUGUCUUCAGGGACGAUAAUGACGGUACCUGAGGAGGAAGCCACGGCUAACUACGUGCCAGCCGCCGCGGUAA